CGCCGGCGCCCCAAAGGAGCGGCCGCCCCUGUCUGCCGCUCCGCCGCCGCCGCCGCCGCUCCCGCGGAGCCUCCUCCCGCGCGCCGCUCCUCCGAUGGAGCUCGGGCGCCGCCGCCGCCGCCGCCGCUGCCCCGAUCCCUGAGCCCGCGGCCCGGGCCGGAGGGACGCGCCGCCCCGCCGAGGGUGCCGGGCGCCCGGGCGCUCGCUGAGGCCCGGGGGCCGCGAGGAGCGAGGGGACUAGGAAGUGCUGCUCUCUCGGGCCACUCGCUCGCCGGCGGGCAGACCAUGGCACUGAAGGACACCGGCAGCGGCGGCGGCACCAUCCUGCCCAUUAGCGAGAUGGUCUCCUCGUCCGGCGCGCCCGGCGCGUCGGCGGCCGCCGCCGCGGGGCCCUGCGCGCCGUCGCCCUUCCCCGAGGUGGUGGAGCUGAACGUGGGCGGCCAGGUCUAUGUGACCAAGCACUCGACGCUGCUCAGCGUCCCGGACAGCACUCUGGCCAGCAUGUUCGCGCCCUCCAGCCCCCGGGGCGGCGCCCGGCGGCGGGGCGAGCUGCCCAGGGACAGCCGGGCGCGCUUCUUCAUCGACCGCGACGGCUUCCUCUUCAGGUACGUGCUGGACUACCUGCGCGACAAGCAGCUGGCGCUGCCCGAGCACUUCCCCGAGAAGGAGCGGCUGCUGCGCGAGGCCGAGUACUUCCAGCUCGCCGACCUGGUCAAGCUGCUGUCGCCCAAGGUCACCAAGCAGAACUCGCUCAACGACGAGGGCUGCCAGAGCGACCUGGAGGACAACGGCUCGCAGGGCAGCGGCGACGCCCUCCUGCUGCGCGGGGCGGCGGCGGCGGCGGCCGCGCCCUCGGGCCCCGCGGCGCACGCGCCGGACAGGCGCUCGGGCUUCCUCACGCUGGGCUACCGCGGCUCCUACACCACGGUGCGCGACAACCAGGCCGACGCCAAGUUCCGGCGCGUGGCGCGCAUCCUGGUGUGCGGGCGCAUCGCGCUGGCCAAGGAGGUCUUCGGGGACACGCUCAACGAGAGCCGCGACCCGGACCGGCAGCCCGAGAAGUACACGUCGCGCUUCUACCUCAAGUUCACCUACCUGGAGCAGGCGUUCGACCGCCUGUCGGAGGCCGGCUUCCACAUGGUGGCGUGCAACUCCUCGGGCGGCGCCGCGCUCGUCGCCCAGCACCGCGACGACCGGGUCUGGAGCAGCUACACCGAGUACAUCUUCUUCCGUAAGUCCGCGCGCGGCGUUUCCCGUCGCUCCCCGCGCGCUCGGCGACCGCGGCGGGUCCGAGGCCGGGCUGGGCCCCGGCGGGGUGUCCCGGGCGGGAGCCGGAACUGCUGUCCCCGCGCCGCCUUGCUCGCGGUCCCCGCUCCCUCUGCACGGCCUUUCUCUGUGGCCCCCGCUCCCGCGCGGCGCUUCCUGAACUUCAUCGAUCGCGCCCUCGCCGCGUCCGCCCCUGCACGUUCGAGGCGUCCCCCCUCGCGGAGGACCGCGGAGGAGACUGGAGCGCGGGGCUGUGCGCGGGUCCUCCCUCAUCUCUCCGCUUCCGCGGGACCCCUGGUGGGAAGCCCACGUGGCUCUCCGUGGUGUCCUUACGGGGGACAGGGUGGCGCCGAGGCGUCCCCGCGCUGCCAGCGUCAGCUCCUGUCGGUGCGGGCGCGGCGCGGGAGCUUCGGUUACCGGGGCGACGGGACAAGGGACGGCGGUGUCGCCAGAGCCCCUCGGGGCGGGGGCGUGAGGGCGGCUGGCGGAAAAGACGUCCCCGCUGACCGCUGGGAGUCCGGGUUUUCCCGCGCAGUUGUCGCCAGUGCGAGAGCGCGGUGUCUGGGACCAGGGGAGGGAGGGGGUGGAAGGAACUAG
This is an RNA transcript of Propithecus coquereli (Coquerel's sifaka), 1863 nucleotides long. It is a transcript of the gene named BTB/POZ domain-containing protein KCTD8 pseudogene, with no coding region annotated. The record is from RefSeq and is a predicted model, not a curated record. NCBI's taxonomy places the organism in Eukaryota, Metazoa, Chordata, Mammalia, Primates, Indriidae. The transcript has a single exon.